GGAGGGUGCGAGCGUUGUUCGGAAUCACUGGGCGUAAAGGGCGUGUAGGCGGUCCGCUAAGUCUGAUGUGAAAGCCCGGGGCUCACCCCCGGAAGUGCAUUGGAAACUGGCGAACUCGAGUCCCGGAGAGGAGAGUGGAAUUCCUGGUGUAGCGGUGAAAUGCGUAGAUAUCAGGAGGAACACCGGUGGCGAAGGCGGCUCUCUGGACGGUGACUGACGCUGAGACGCGAAAGCGUGGGGAGCAAACAGGAUUAGAUACCCUGGUAGUCCACGCUGUAAACGAUGAGCACUAGGUGUCGUGGGUAUUGACCCCCGCGGUGCCGCAGCUAACGUAUUAAGUGCUCCGCCUGGGGACUACGGCCGCAAGGUUA
This 371-nucleotide ribosomal RNA is filed under the name uncultured bacterium. Its description in RNAcentral is "bacterial SSU rRNA". It matches the Rfam family "Bacterial small subunit ribosomal RNA", at positions 527 to 896 of the family's 1533-position model. The record is from RNAcentral.